AAAAUGAAUAUUGUUUAUUGAUAACUCUGUGAAGACUACAUUCGAUGUGUAGGCAGAGAAACACCGAAAAGUGCUCGGGGCAAACGAAACAAUGAUAGUUGUGGAUAGCUGACCGCUGUUUGAUUGUGAAUGAAAAACAGAAUCCUUGUCAGGAGAAAGUAAAGGUGUUGUGCUAAAGUUAUCGCAGUUAAAGGUAUCCGUGGAGUUGCAGGAAUAAUAGAAGACAAGCGUUAAAAGCGUAGUCUGAAUCCAAGUUAGGGUUUAGCUGGUGACUGGUAUCAAACCUUGGAAAUACCACCAAUCCUGUUUGCGGUGAUGACAAAGAAAUUUGUCUAUAAGACUCUACAGAAUCCAAGUAGCGGAAAUCGCAAUGACACACAUUUUUUGAUGAUAUUUAGAAAAAUAUAAUGAAAAAAUUCUGAAUAUCCCGUGAAAGGUAAAGGUAACCAUUCCUUUAAUAGCAUUGUGCGAAUGUAUGCUGUUCUUAAGUGGGAUAGUGUACUAUGCUUGGGCAAGAAGUUAUAAGAGGACGCUUUUAUAGCUCAGACUUGUCUACUAUGUGACUGAAAAUAACUGAAGAUAAUGGCAGUAAGGCGAAGGUCUAUCAAUAAAAAGUAUUCAUU
This 623-nucleotide non-coding RNA is filed under the name unclassified sequences. RNAcentral describes it as "ROOL RNA". It matches the Rfam family "ROOL RNA". From Rfam's summary of the family: Firmicutes, Fusobacteria (1 example), Tenericutes (1 example). Environment (Cow rumen (57)) The record is from Rfam by way of RNAcentral.